GCAAUACGGAGCGGCAGACGGGAGAGUAACACGUGGGAACGUGCCCUUUGGUCCGGAACAGCCCAGGGAAACUUGGGCUAAUACCGGAUAAGUCCGUAAGGAGAAAGAUUUAUCGCCAAAGGAUCGGCCCGCGUCUGAUUAGCUAGUUGGUGAGGUAACGGCUCACCAAGGCGACGAUCAGUAGCUGGUCUGAGAGGAUGAUCAGCCUCACUGGGACUGAGACACGGCCCAGACUCCUACGGGAGGCAGCAGUGGGGAAUAUUGGACAAUGGGCGCAAGCCUGAUCCAGCCAUGCCGCGUGGGUGAUGAAGGCCCUAGGG
RNAcentral lists this ribosomal RNA (320 nucleotides) under uncultured bacterium. RNAcentral's name for it is "bacterial SSU rRNA". It matches the Rfam family "Bacterial small subunit ribosomal RNA", at positions 85 to 422 of the family's 1533-position model. The record is from RNAcentral.